This 253-nucleotide ribosomal RNA is filed under the name uncultured bacterium. RNAcentral's name for it is "partial 16S ribosomal RNA". It matches the Rfam family "Bacterial small subunit ribosomal RNA", at positions 524 to 776 of the family's 1533-position model. The record is from RNAcentral.
GACGGAGGAGGCUAGCGUUGUUCGGAAUUACUGGGCGUAAAGCGUACGCAGGUGGCGAAGCAAGUCGGAUGUGAAAGCCCGGGGCUCAACCCCGGAUGUGCAUCCGAUACUGUUUUGCUGGAGUCCGGGAGAGGAGAGCGGAAUUCCCAGUGUAGAGGUGAAAUUCGUAGAUAUUGGGAAGAACACCGGUGGCGAAGGCGGCUCUCUGGUCCGGUACUGACACUCAAGUACGAAAGCGUGGGGAGCAAACAGG